UACGUAGGGUGCGAGCGUUGUCCGGAAUUAUUGGGCGUAAAGAGCUCGUAGGCGGUCUGUCGCGUCGGAUGUGAAAAUCCAGGGCUCAACCCUGGACCUGCAUUCGAUACGGGCAGACUAGAGUUCGGCAGGGGAGACUGGAAUUCCUGGUGUAGCGGUGAAAUGCGCAGAUAUCAGGAGGAACACCGGUGGCGAAGGCGGCUCACUGGUCCGGUACUGACGCUGAGGUGCGAAAGCGUGGGGAGCAAACAGG
Molecule: ribosomal RNA, 253 nt
Filed under: uncultured bacterium
Lineage: Bacteria
Description: partial 16S ribosomal RNA
Rfam family: Bacterial small subunit ribosomal RNA
Source: RNAcentral